ACGAACGCUGGCGGCGUGCUUCACACAUGCAAGUCGAACGGAAAGGCCCUGCUUUUGUGGGGUGCUCGAGUGGCGAACGGGUGAGUAACACGUGAGUAACCUGCCCUUGACUUUGGGAUAACUUCAGGAAACUGGGGCUAAUACCGGAUAGAAGCUCCUGCUGCAUGGUGGGGGUUGGAAAGUUUCGGCGGUUGGGGAUGGACUCGCGGCUUAUCAGCUUGUUGGUGGGGUAGUGGCUUACCAAGGCUUUGACGGGUAGCCGGCCUGAGAGGGUGACCGGCCACAUUGGGACUGAGAUACGGCCCAGACUCCUACGGGAGGCAGCAGUGGGGAAUAUUGCACAAUGGGCGGAAGCCUGAUGCAGCAACGCCGCGUGCGGGAUGACGGCCUUCGGGUUGUAAACCGCUUUCGCCUGUGACGAAGCGUGAGUGACGGUAAUGGGUAAAGAAGCACCGGCUAACUACGUG
Molecule: ribosomal RNA, 467 nt
Filed under: uncultured bacterium
Lineage: Bacteria
Description: partial 16S ribosomal RNA
Rfam family: Bacterial small subunit ribosomal RNA
Source: RNAcentral